Molecule: small nuclear RNA, 125 nt
Filed under: Carassius auratus (goldfish)
Lineage: Eukaryota; Metazoa; Chordata; Actinopteri; Cypriniformes; Cyprinidae
Description: U4 spliceosomal RNA (ENSCARG00000052894.1)
Rfam family: U4 spliceosomal RNA (bases 38-125)
About the family: U4 small nuclear RNA (U4 snRNA) is a component of the major U2-dependent spliceosome. The structure of U4 snRNA from yeast and human has been reported. U4 snRNA presents a k-turn RNA motif in the 5p-SL related to recognition of Snu13 protein.
Source: RNAcentral
UUCCACGUCCACAUGGGUCCAGUUGGUCAACGCGAUCAUUGCUGGUUGAAAACUUUACCCAAUACCCCGCCAGGAUGACUUGAAAUACAGUCAGCCUUGGCAAUUUUUGCCAGCUUCUUUUGAAG